This 2074-nucleotide unclassified non-coding RNA is filed under the name Hevea brasiliensis (rubber tree). Lineage: Eukaryota; Viridiplantae; Streptophyta; Magnoliopsida; Malpighiales; Euphorbiaceae. The record is from RNAcentral.
GCUAUGCUUCCAUUCUAGUUUCUCUUCUGGGCUGAACUUUCGACUGUUUGCAGGUGUCGACAUCUUUUUCAAAUAAAAUCACAGGCUCCCUUGCAUAAGCGCGCUUUCAGGUCCUGAAGCCGAAUUAUACGAGAAGCAUGCGUGCGCUGGCCCUUCUGGGCCAACUCCGGUUCUCUCGUGCAACUGAUCGAACAUUUUCUAUCACCUGUCUACCUCUCUACCAAAUUCCUUGUAGUUUCAGUUUUCUCUGUACCCUCACAAGCGAUUGUCCCGCCGAGAAGAAGAUAUUAGAACCAGAAGAAGAACAAGAAGCACCCAAGUGCUUAUCUUUGAGAAUUGAGAAGCUUUCCAGAGGAGAAUCGGUUGGUUUAGCCUUUCAAAGUUGGAUGCGCGAAGGCUUUCCCAUUCACCGAGGUGACAUUUUUCACUCCAUUAACCGCUUGAGGAAGCUCAAAUUGAACAAACGCGCGCUUCAGGUGAUGGAAUGGGUGAUCAGGGAGAGACCAUAUAGGCCAAAAGAACUUGACUACUCUUACCUUUUGGAAUUCACAACCAAACUUCAUGGGAUAUCUCAAGGAGAAAAGCUCUUCACCCGUAUCCCUCCCGAGUUCCAGAAUGAAUUGCUAUAUAACAACCUUGUAAUUGCAUGUUUGGAAAAGGGUGUCAUAAGGCUUUCGCUUGACUACAUGAAGAAAAUGAGGGAAUUGGGUCACCCCAUAUCACAUUUGGUUUUCAACCGCCUUAUAAUCCUCCAUUCCUCUCCUGGUCGCAGAAAAAUGAUCCCAAAAUUCCUUAAUCUAAUGAAGGCCUAUAAGGUGGCUCCUCAUGUCUCCACAUACAACAUUCUGAUGAAAAUUGAAGCUAAUGAACACAAUAUUGAAGGACUAGUGAAGGUAUUUGGUGAAAUGAAGCUAUCAAAAGUGGAGCCAAAUGAGAUAUCUUUCUGCAUAUUAGCUACUGCACAUGCAGUUGCGAGAUUGUAUACAGUGGCUGAGGCAUAUGUUGAAGCUGUGGAGAUAUCUCGUACAGGAGAUAACUGGUCAACGCUAGAUAUUUUAAUCAUAUUGUACGGGUAUUUGGGGAAGGAGAAGAAAUUAGAGAGAACGUGGGCCAUUGUGCAAGAACUCUCCCAUGUUAGGUCUAAAAGUUACAUGCUUGCAGUUGAAGCAUUUGGUAGAAUUGGGCAGCUCAAUCGAGCUGAAGAGCUUUGGUUAGAGAUGAAGUCAUUAAAAGGGUUGAAAUCAACAGAAGCGUUCAAUUCCAUGCUAUCUGUGUAUUGCAAAUAUGGGCAGAUAAAAAGGGCAACUGGAAUUUUCAGGGAGAUGGAGAUAAAUGGAUGCAAGCCAAAUGCCAUUACUUUUCGACAUCUUGCUUUGGGUUGCUUGAAGGCUGAACUAGUGGAAGAAGCCUUGAAGACUCUAGAAAUGGGGAUGCACUUGAAAACAAGCAACAAGGUAAGGAAUUCAAUCCCAUGGUUGGAAACUACGCUUUCAAUUAUUGAAAUUUUUGCAGAGAAGGGUGAUAUAGUUAAUGCUGAGAAGUUCUUUGAAGAAAUAAAGAAAGCAAAUUAUACAAGGCAUACUUUUGUGUACAACACAUUAAUAAAAACUUAUGUGAAGGCCAAAAUUUAUGUUCCUAAUCUUUUGAGGAGGAUGAUUUUAGGAGGUGCUAGACCAGAUGCUGAGACCUAUAGCCUGAUUAAACUUGUUGAGCAGUUCAAAACUUGAUCGUGUACAAGAGUUUAUAUGUUGUACAAAUUUCAUUCAUUUUCCUCGAGGGAAAUUGGUUUUUUUGUGUCGUUGCCAGUAAAUUAGUUUAAGCAAGUUUUUGGAAAAGUCACAAGAAACUCGAUAUCUAAUCCCACUUGUUCCUGAUAAAGUGUUUAUGAGAGAAUGAAGGCUUCGCACCCAGCAUCAUGUGCGGGGAAGCCUGUAGCAGAGCAUAAAACUGCGCAAAUCUUUGAACUCAUCCAGUUUCAAUAUUCCAGUGCACCAAACAUUUUAUUCUUAGAUGUUUCUUAAAUGAUCAUUCCUAGUCUGGGAUUUGGGCCUGAGUGAGAAACAAGCAUUCAUUG